UUUUUUUGCCAUGGUGUGCAAUGGCUUGAUGUGGACUCUCAGUUCCCAGGCCAGGGAUGGAACUCUUGGGCCACAGUGGUGAAAGUGCUGAAUCCUAACCACUAAGACCACCAGGGAACUCACUCCUAUAGCUCUUAAAGUCUUUUCUUGCCUUUAACAUCUUGGCAGGCUUCAAUUCACUCUGAACCUUACUCUUCUCUGAUUUUUGUAGGUUUAUGCCACUCUUGUGUUUUUGUUAUGUUUCAUGACGUUCUCUCACUUCCAUCAUUUCUGCAUCUUCACUAGAAACACAAACUCAGAGAUGAGCGACCCCUAUAAUUUAUGCUUUCUUUAGAUGUCUCUCUCUUGUUUCCUCAUAGAUUCAUUUGUGGUUAUACUGUAACUGUCUGGUUUCUAUUUCCCCUUUUUGAGCUCCUGAUCUUGGGGUUUGGAUUUUCAGACUUUCUUUUCCUAAAUCUUGGGCCGACUGGAGACUGGCAGCUGUGAAUGGUGAUCCAGGGGCAGAGCUGGUCCCUAAAGCAAAUACAGGAUUGGACCUGGGCGAUGCAUUAUUUAAAGAAUUUUGGCUUUGAGGAGGAGUUCUCGUUGUGGUUUAGUGUUUAACAAAUCUGACUAUGAACCAUGAGAUUGUGGGUUUGAUCCCUGGCCUUGCUCAGUGGGUUAAGGAUCCGGCAUUGCCAUGAGCUGUGGUGUAGGUUGCAGACGCAGCUCGGAACCCGCAUUGAUGUGGCUGUGGCAUAGGCCGAUCCAAACCUUAUCUGCAGCCUACACCACAGCUCACAGCAACACUGGAUCCUUAACCCACUGAGCGAGGCCAGGGAUUGAACCUGCAUCCUCAUGGCUAAGCCACAACAGAAACUCCGACUCCUGCCUUUUCUAUACCAGCUUGACCUCUGCAGACAUUUGUGGGCAUGACUCUGCCAUUGGCUGUGACUGGUGGUCUUUCCUCUGUGAGCCUUUGCCUGAUCUCCUGCCCCUACUUCUGGCCUGUUUCAGCAGCUGAAGCUUACACCCAAAGCCCCUGCAACUCCAGGCUGGGAGACUUUCAGGCAACAUCAGGACACAGCACAAGACCCUCCCCCGAGUCAGGCUGGCUCCCCAGUGUCCUGGAAAAGCAGCGAGUUCAUUAUGGCUCCCACAUCUAUUCCCCUGGGCCCCUUUCUAGAAUGUACUCCCUCCCCCAGCAUCCUGCAUAGAGUCGGUUUACCAGGCAGUGCCCAUUCCCCAGCACAGUUUUCCCUUGUGUCUGUAGCUCUGUUCUGGAACCUGUUCAAUGUCUCUGCUCAUCCCAGGCUGUGGCCCUGCCCAUCUCCCCCCCCCAGUCCCGGAAUCAGCAUCUGGCUGAAGCACAGCAGAUGAAUGCCCCCCCCCCCGCCCCCGACAACUAACAAUGCAGGCUUCUUUCUCCUCCUGAGAUGCCCCCUGUGGCCCUUACCUGGGACCCCUGGAUACCAGCCCUCCUCCAGUCAUCACAGCCCAGGCUCUGACUCCGGCCCUGCUUCCUGGAAUGGCCUGCACACCACAUCCUGUUCCUGGCAAUUACAAAAUCUAAGAUGACUGAUCCCUUUGCUCCAAACUUCCCCAAAUGUCUUCCUCAUCACACCACGACUCCCUGAUGGUCAUCAUUCAGCUUGGAGUAAUCACUGACCUCGCUGCUGUCACCCAUUCCACAGCCACACUCAUGUGCAAAAAACAAAAAAACCCCCCCCCCCCAAAAAAAACCCCACAAAACCUGCUUUUUCCAAGCUCCUCAAACGUUUCCUGAUCUCAUCAAUGAGUGGCUGCAGGACCUCUGGCACACUUCUGCCAUGUCUGGAACGCUAAUUCUUUGAAAACUGGUUCAGCUGGUUAUGCCAAAUUUCUUUUCCAGAACACUCAAUUAGCUCGACGCUUUCUAUCAGCCAUUCCUUAACCAUUGCUUGUUGGCAAAUUCCUGUGUUAUUCUCUUUAGCAAAUUGUUUACAAAUUAGAGGAUCCAGGAGGAGACAGUCUGGCACCUUCUCUCAGGGGGAAGGUGAAGGUACCAUCUGGAGCCGAGCCAUGUGGAGGGCAGACAGACCUCACUAAACCUUGGAUGCUGAGGAUGGAAAGCGAAAGGGAAAGUCCUACAGAACUCAGCCGUAAAAGCACCUUCCUACGGCCAUGGUCGAGUUUACACUUGAGAGAGAAUUAGAGCUCGGUGCCAAAAGCAGCAAAAUUGACAGAGUCAAGAAGUCACAUCCUUUAAGGUAAAUCAGUUCUGAGUGAAGACCCUGGCCUCCUGGCUGCAGGUUGCUACAGGAAAUCUUAUUCUCAGUGGACCAUGAUGAUCCUGAAAAGGCAAGUAAAAAGGAGAGGAGCUCUCGUCGUGGCUCAGCAGGCUAAGGACCCACCGUAGUCUCCCCAAGGAUGUGGGUUGAAUUCCUAGCCUCACUCAGUGGGCUAAGGAUCUGGCACUGCUGGGAGUUGCGGCAUAGGUCACAGAUGUGGCUCAGAUCCUGUACUGACGUGGCUGUGGUGUAGGCUUCAGCUGCAGCUCUGAUUUGACCCUGAGCCUGGAAACUUCCAUAUGCCACAGCUAUGGCUGUAAAAAGAAAAAAAAAAAAGAAGAGUGGGGGAAUUUCUCUGUGCCUUUCAUGCAGGAGAUGUUCCUUUUCUCUUUGGUGAUGACUGCCUUGUGGUAAAUCUGCUUAGUGCUAAGUAAGCUCUGAAAUGACACAGCAUGUAUGCCAGCAAAUCACGCAUCAGGAUGACUGUGGCUCCAGGGCAGGUGCUUACGUGGCCUUAUCCUGCUUGUGUGCGGACCGCUUGCAUUUGGGCAUUUAUGGGAGGGAGGGCUCAGGAUGAGGCAGCAAAGGCUGGAUCCUCCCGGCCAGCAGGCUGACCAGACUGGGAGUGUGCAGGGCAGAGGCCCGGGCCAGGAGUGUUUCAGAAAUGGUCACAGCCCAUCAGCGCUAGUGCCAAGCUGAUUAGCAUUAUCUGAACCUUCCCCUCCAGGUGCAAGCAUUACUACAUCCCCUGGGAUGAGCUCAAGAGGCCCAGAGUUCUUUUAGAAAUGGGCUGGGAAAAGGUUUAAAAUAGAAAAUUUUUCUUUUCUUUUUAUGGCCCCACUUGCAGCAUAUGGAAGUUUGAAGGCCAGGGGUUGAAUUGGAGCUGCAGCUGUGGCCUACACCACAGCUUGUGGCAAUGCUGGAUCCUUAACCCACUGAGCCAGGGAUCAAACCUGCAUCCUCAAGGAGACGACGUCAGAUUCUUAAACUGUUAAGCCACAAAGGCAACCCCCCCCCCCCCCAGAAUUUUUAAAUAAAAAAAGAAAACUUGGUCACUGACACCCUUUUCAUCUUGUGGGGGGUGGAGAAGGGCGGGGUGGGGGAGUCAGGAGUCAGGGCCCUGUCCUGUGAUGGACAGUCCACUGGCAUUUGAUAACCUGUCCAGAGCAUCUGGCCUCGAUGCUAUCCUUCGCCCCAUCAGGAGGCCCUGGCGAAGCUCUCAUCUCUGACGAUGGCAGACUGAGCCCACCUAUGAUGAACUGUUGUGGGGGUCGGAGGGGGGGUAGGGGGUGGGUGGGUAGGAGGGUGUCAGUGGUUUCCCUCAAUGGACCAAGGUGGGAAUACGGGGUCCUUCCUGCCUCACGCUUACGAACGGCUUGACCUUGACCUCUCUUACUUCAAUUCCCCCUUUCUAAGAUGAGAAGAAACACAGCUGCCUCCUCUGGUUGUUGUAAAGACAGAAGCCUGAACACUAGUGAAUACAGAUGUUCACCAGGAGCUGACCCUCGCCCAGGAGGAAGGGGAUCAUUGCCACGUAGCCCUGGACCACCGGUGAAUUGGGUCAAAUAGGGAAAAUUCACUCAGAUCUAAGCUACCCAAGGAACACUGACUUUCAUUCUCUAGAGCAAAACCUAAGAAGACGCCUGCCCUAUGGAAUAACUGUGUGCUCUUUCCCAAGAAAAGGGGAAAGCCUAAGGUUCCUACUCUGCCAGCCCCAGAGUUUUGGUUAAAAUUUCACCUCUCUGGUGUGCACAUUUGCACGCAGGGGGAUAUCUAAGCCUGAAGAGUCAAACAUGUCACCUGUGAAUGUGCCACCAACAAGAUGUUAAAAUGAGACCUUUUUUGGCCACGCCCACAGCAUGUGCAAGUUCCCAGGCCAGGGAUCCAACCUGGGCCACACAGUGACCCAAGCCAUAGCAGUAACAAUGCUGGAUGCUUAACCCAUUGAGUCACUAGGAAACUCCAUAAAUGAGAUGGUUUCAAUGAGCGAAUUUGCGGCAAAUGCUGAAAUGAUACUCAGAGUGUUGGGCUGAGUUUAUCUGAGAGUAUUUGUUUUCUUUGAAUGCUGCCUGUGGUAUGUGGCAGAGAAUCAAAUCUCACUGUGAGACAGUUUUGUUCCUGGGGGAGCUGGGAUGCAGAACAAAGCCCUGAGAAGAGAACACCACCCAGAGGGAAGGCUGUGACCACACCAUCAGAGAGUGAGGGCUGGUCCUGCCCCUUCACCAAAGUCAGAAAGCGCCUCCAGUGU
RNAcentral lists this transfer RNA (4497 nucleotides) under Sus scrofa (pig). RNAcentral's name for it is "lncRNA (ENSSSCG00025043788.1)". The record is from RNAcentral. Lineage: Eukaryota; Metazoa; Chordata; Mammalia; Artiodactyla; Suidae.